This 73-nucleotide transfer RNA is filed under the name Candidatus Pacearchaeota archaeon. Its description in RNAcentral is "tRNA-Gln". It matches the Rfam family "tRNA". Rfam says of the family: Transfer RNA (tRNA) molecules are approximately 80 nucleotides in length. Their secondary structure includes four short double-helical elements and three loops (D, anti-codon, and T loops). Further hydrogen bonds mediate the characteristic L-shaped molecular structure. tRNAs have two regions of fundamental functional importance: the anti-codon, which is responsible for specific mRNA codon recognition, and the 3' end, to which the tRNAs corresponding amino acid is attached (by aminoacyl-tRNA synthetases). tRNAs cope with the degeneracy of the genetic code in two manners: having more than one tRNA (with a specific anti-codon) for a particular amino acid; and 'wobble' base-pairing, i.e. permitting non-standard base-pairing at the 3rd anti-codon position. The record is from RNAcentral. Lineage: Archaea; Nanobdellati.
AGCCCUGUAGUGUAGCGGUCAAGCAUUGCGGGUUCUGGGCCCGCAGACCCCGGUUCGAAUCCGGGCAGGGCUA